AGUGAACGCUGGCGGUAGGCCUAACACAUGCAAGUCGAACGGCAGCACAGUAAGAGCUUGCUCUUACGGGUGGCGAGUGGCGGACGGGUGAGGAAUACAUCGGAAUCUACUUUUUCGUGGGGGAUAACGUAGGGAAACUUACGCUAAUACCGCAUACUACCUACGGGUGAAAGCAGGGGAUCUUCGGACCUUGCGCGAUUGAAUGAGCCGAUGUCGGAUUAGCUAGUUGGCGGGGUAAAGGCCCACCAAGGCGACGAUCCGUAGCUGGUCUGAGAGGAUGAUCAGCCACACUGGAACUGAGACACGGUCCAGACUCCUACGGGAGGCAGCAGUGGGGAAUAUUGGACAAUGGGCGAAAGCCUGAUCCAGCAAUACCGCGUGGGUGAAGAAGGCCUUCGGGUUGUAAAGCCCUUUUGUUAGGAAAGAAAAGAAGCAGGUUAAUACGCCGAUGUUCUGACGGUACCCAAAGAAUAAGCACCGGCUAACUUCGUG
Molecule: ribosomal RNA, 492 nt
Filed under: uncultured bacterium
Lineage: Bacteria
Description: partial 16S ribosomal RNA
Rfam family: Bacterial small subunit ribosomal RNA
Source: RNAcentral